Molecule: ribosomal RNA, 301 nt
Filed under: uncultured bacterium
Lineage: Bacteria
Description: partial 16S ribosomal RNA
Rfam family: Bacterial small subunit ribosomal RNA
Source: RNAcentral
CAGUCGCCGCGGUAAUACGUAGGGCGCAAGCGUUAUCCGGAAUUAUUGGGCGUAAAGAGCUCGUAGGCGGUUUGUCGCGUCUGCCGUGAAAGUCCGGGGCUCAACCCCGGAUCUGCGGUGGGUACGGGCAGACUAGAGUGAUGUAGGGGAGACUGGAAUUCCUGGUGUAGCGGUGAAAUGCGCAGAUAUCAGGAGGAACACCGAUGGCGAAGGCAGGUCUCUGGGCAUUAACUGACGCUGAGGAGCGAAAGCAUGGGGAGCGAACAGGAUUAGAUACCCCCGUAGUCCCUGUCUCUUAUAA